Molecule: long non-coding RNA, 428 nt
Filed under: Physcomitrium patens
Lineage: Eukaryota; Viridiplantae; Streptophyta; Bryopsida; Funariales; Funariaceae
Description: long non-coding RNA (PPAT_LNC001638)
Source: RNAcentral
UAAUAAAAUAUUAAAAUAAAAACUUUAAUUAAAUCUUAGUCGAAUCCUAAUCAAAUUCUAGUCAAAUCCUAGUCAAAUCCUAGACUAAUCCUAGUCAAAUCCUAGACUAAUCCUAGUCAAAUCCUAGUGACAUCCUAGUCAAAUCCUAACAAAUCCUAAGCAAAUCCUAAUCAAAUCUUAAACAAACCUUAACCAAAUUCUAAAUAAAUCAUAGUCAAAUUUUAAUCAAAUUCUAAAUAAAUCUUAGUCAAACCCUAAUAAAUCCUAAUCAAAUCCUAAUCAAAUCCUAAAAAAAUCCUAAAUAAAUCCUAAAUGAAUUCUAAAUAAAUCCUAAUCAAAUUUUAAACAAAUUCCAAACAAAUCCUAACCAAAUCCUAAAUAAAUCCUAAUCAAAUCCUAAUUAAAUACUAAAAAAAUCCUAAUCAAAU